AGCGAACGCUGGCGGCAUGCCUAACACAUGCAAGUCGCACGGGGGGGCUUCGGCCUCCCAGUGGCGGACGGGUGAGGAACGCGUAGGGACCUGUCGAGGGGUGGGGGAUAACCGCGGGAAACUGCGGCUAAUACCGCAUGACGCCGCGGCGUGACAGCCGGGGCCAAAGGCGAAAGCCGCCCGCCGAGGGGCCUGCGUCCGAUUAGCUGGUUGGCGGGGUAGCGGCCCACCAAGGCGUCGAUCGGUAGCUGGUCUGAGAGGGUGAUCAGCCACACCUGGACUGAGACACGGCCCGGACUCCUACGGGAGGCAGCAGUGGGGAAUAUUGGACAAUGGGCGCAAGCCUGAUCCAGCAAUGCCGCGUGGGUGAAGAAGGUCUUCGGAUUGUAAAGCCCUUUCGGCGGGGACGAUGGUGACGGUACCCGCAGAAGAAGCCCCGGCUAACUUCGUG
Molecule: ribosomal RNA, 451 nt
Filed under: uncultured bacterium
Lineage: Bacteria
Description: partial 16S ribosomal RNA
Rfam family: Bacterial small subunit ribosomal RNA
Source: RNAcentral